This 253-nucleotide ribosomal RNA is filed under the name uncultured bacterium. RNAcentral's name for it is "partial 16S ribosomal RNA". It matches the Rfam family "Bacterial small subunit ribosomal RNA", at positions 524 to 776 of the family's 1533-position model. The record is from RNAcentral.
UACGUAGGGGGCAAGCGUUGUCCGGAAUUAUUGGGCGUAAAGCGCGCGCAGGCGGCUAGUUAAGUCAGAUGUGAAAGGCUGCGGCUCAACCGCAGAGCUGCAUCUGAAACUGAUUAGCUUGAGUGCAGGAGAGGAUAGUGGAAUUCCCGGUGUAGUGGUGGAAUGCGUAGAGAUCGGGAGGAACACCAGUGGCGAAGGCGACUGUCUGGACUGUAACUGACGCUGAGGAGCGAAAGCGUGGGGAGCAAACAGG